Molecule: long non-coding RNA, 5154 nt
Filed under: Medicago truncatula (barrel medic)
Lineage: Eukaryota; Viridiplantae; Streptophyta; Magnoliopsida; Fabales; Fabaceae
Description: long non-coding RNA (MTRU_LNC007953)
Source: RNAcentral
CUUGUUAGAGUGUUUAAGACUUUGUAAUCUUGGUUAGGUGACAGACUACUAUGCUGUCCUGCUGUUCACUUUUUCUGUUUUUUCUAAAUAUUGUAUCAGAAACUUUAUUUUGAUGUAGAAUGAAAUUAUCUUCAAGUUUCUGAAAUAACUUUUUGUUCUUACAAAUGGUAUACAGAGCUUCUUUGUUCUUAAAGGGCCUGUGAUUAAAAACCCUUGCUUUCUUGACACCCAACCAUUUUUCUUGAUGGCUUCAAACAAUAUUACCCUUCCAGCACCUCCUGUAUUUACAGGAAAGAAAUAUGAAAUCUGGUCUGUGAAGAUGAAGACUCAUUUGAGGGCAUAUGAUCUUUGGGAAGUGGUGGAAACAGCUGCUGAACCACCACCUUUGCAAGAAAAUCCAACUGUUGCUCAAAUGAGAUACCACAGUGAGCAAGUUGCCAAGAGAGCUAAGGCUCUUACCAUCCUUCACUCUGCUGUGAAUGAUGAUGUUUUCAUGAGAAUCUCACACUUAGAGACAGCAAAACAAGUUUGGGAAAAGCUAGAAGAAGAGUUUUUUGGGAAUGAAAGAACCAAGCAGAUGCAGGUUCUAAAUCUCAAAAGAGAGUUUGAAGCCUUAAAGAUGAAUGAGGCUGAAAACAUAAAUGAUUUCAUGACGAAAGUUAUGAAAGUUGUGAAUCAAAUAAGAUUGUUGGGAGAACAAUUUCUUGAUAGCAGAAUUGUAGAAAAAGUCUUGGUGGUUUUACCUGAAAGAUUCGAAUCAAAGAUUUCUGCACUUGAAGAAUCAAAAGAUCUUUCCAAGAUAACCUUAACAGAGCUUAUAAAUGCUCUUCAAGCUCAAGAGCAGAGAAGAAUUUUGAGACAAGAGGAAGCAUCAGAAACAGCUUUACAAGUCAAACACAAAGGAAAAUCCAUAGCAACCAAAGGUGAAAAGAAAUUUGUUGGAGAGCACUCUGGGAAAGAUACAAAGAAGAAGGAAAGAUUUCCAAAAUGUGGAAUUUGCAAAAGAACCAGCCACAAGGAAAGUGAUUGUUGGUACAAAGGAAAAAAACCACCACCAUUUCAAUGUAGAUACUGCAAUAAAACUGGGCAUAUUGAGAGGUUUUGUAGGCUGAAACAGCAGCACCAAAAUCAACAAAAUCAUACUUCUCAAAAGGCAAAUGUAACUGAAAUUGAAGAUAGUGAAGAACUCUUGUUCAUGGCCAAUACUACAAGGAGUUCGGAGGAUGGAGACACAUGGUUUAUUGAUAGUGGCUGCACACAACACAUGACUAGCAAACCAAAACUGUUUUCAGAGAUCAAACCCGCUGCAGGAUCUGUAAAGAUUGGAAAUGGACAGAAAGUUGCCAUCACAGGUAGAGGAACAGUGAAAAUUCACACUGCAACAGGUAUUAAAUACAUUUCUGAUGUACUUUUAGUUCCUGAACUUGAUCAAAACCUGUUGAGUGUGGGCCAAAUGAUUGAAAAAGGUUAUUGUUUGUUAUUUAAAGAAGGAAGUUGUGUGGUUACUGAUGUUAAUGGUCAUGAAUUAUUUGAAGUAAAUAUGAGAAAAAGAAGUUUUCCUAUUAACUGGAAUUUAGUUUCUGAACAUGAAUGUAAUAUGAGUAAAGCUGAACUUGAUUCUAAGCUUUGGCACAAAAGAUUUGGCCACUAUAAUUUGAAAUCUAUUCAAUUUGCUCAAAAGCAAGAGUUAGUCAAAGACUUGCCCAAUAUUCAAACUUUUUCGGAGGUGUGUGAAGGUUGUCAACUUGGUAAGCAACAUAGGUUGCCUUUUCCAAGUUCAGCAACAUGGAGAGCAAGUGAAAAACUUGAAUUGGUUCACUCAGAUGUUUGUGGACCUAUGAAUACUUCUUCACUCAAUGGAAGCAAGUAUUUUAUUCUUUUUAUUGAUGAUUUUACAAGGAUGACUUGGGUUUAUUUUCUGAAACAGAAGUCUGAAGUUUUUUCUGUUUUUAAGAAGUUUAAGAUCUUUGUUGAAAAUCAAAGUGGUUGUUUAUUGAAGAAACUUAGAACUGACAACGGGAAGGAGUAUACUUCUACAGAAUUCAAUAAAUUUUGUGAUGAUUUGGGUGUUGAACGUCAACUUACAGUCAGCUACUCGCCUCAACAGAACGGAGUUUCUGAAAGAAAGAAUAGAUCUGUCCUUGAAAUGGCUAGAUGCAUGAUUUUUGAGAAGAAAUUGCCAAAGUCCUUCUGGGCAGAGGCAAUAAACACUGCUGUCUAUCUCCAAAAUCGACUUCCUACAAAGGCGGUAGAAGGGAUGACACCUAUUGAGGCUUGGGGAGGCUUCAAGCCGUCUAUCAAGCAUCUGAGAGUGUUUGGUUCGCUAUGCUACACUCACAUACCAGAUGUGAAAAGAAGCAAAUUGGAUGAAAAGGCUGAAAAAGGAAUUUUAAUAGGCUAUAGCUCAAAGUCUAAGGGCUAUAAAGUCUAUGGAAUUGAUUCAAAUAAAAUUUUCAUUAAUAGAGAUGUUAAAGUGGAUGAAGAUGCAUAUUGGAAUUGGGAGACCUCUCAAGUUGAUAGAGGUUCAACUUUGUCUUCUCUCGAGGAUGCAAAUGAAGAUCAAGAUGAAGAAGUUGAUGAUGACUUUGCUGUUAGAGGUACCCGACCUCUUUCAGAGAUUUAUCAAAGAUGCAAUAGUGCUGUCCUUGAACCUACCAGCUUUGAAGAUGCUAGUAAAGUUGAUGAAUGGUACCAGGCUAUGAAAGAGGAGAUGGACAACAUUGAAAAGAACAAGACAUGGCAGCUGGUUGACAAGCCUAGAGACAAGAAUGUCAUAGGAGUGAAAUGGGUCUAUAGGGUCAAGAUGAACCCAGAUGGAUCCAUCAACAAAUACAAGGCCAGACUUGUUGUCAAGGGCUAUGUUCAACAAUCCGGGAUUGACUACACAGAAACAUUUGCACCGGUAGCAAGAAUGGAUACUAUUCGAAUUCUUGUAGCGUUGGCAGCACAAAUGAAGUGGAAAAUUUGGCAUUUAGAUGUCAAAUCAGCAUUCUUAAAUGGUAACCUUGAUGAAGAAAUUUAUGUUGCUCAACCUGCUGGUUUUUUGGUGAAAGGGAGGGAAGACAAGGUGUAUAAGCUUAAUAAAGCUUUGUAUGGGCUGAAACAGGCCCCUAGAGCUUGGUAUAGCAAAAUUGAUAGCCACUUUCUUAAUCAAGGAUUCAAAAGGAGUGAAAAUGAUGCAACUCUUUAUGUAAGAAGAUUGUUGGAUGGUGGUUCCUUAAUUGUCUCUUUGUAUGUUGAUGACUUGCUAGUAACAAGCAAUAAUCAACAAGAAGUUCAACAACUUAUGGAGGAGAUGAAAAACCAGUUUGAGAUGUCUAGCUUAGGGGAAAUGAACUAUUUUCUCGGCUUGGAAGUGCAUCAAUCUGAGAAUGGAAUUUUUUUGAAUCAAGAGAAGUAUGCUCGUGAAGUUUUGAAGAAGUUUAAAAUGGAAAGCUGCAAAUCUGCUCCAACUCCUUUGGUGUGGAAUUUGAAACUCUCAAAGGAAGAUGAAGCUGAAAAAAUUGAUGCUUCUCGUUAUAGAAGUUUGAUUGGGAGUCUACUCUAUCUUACUUCAUCUAGACCUGAUCUUAUGUAUGCAGCAAGCUUACUCUCAAGAUUUAUGCAGAAUCCUACCAAGACACAUUUUGCUGCAGCAAAGAGGGUACUUAGAUAUGUUAAGGGUACUACUCAAUUCGGAAUAUGGUACAAGCCAAGUGAAAAUGAAAGUUUGUUAGGCUAUGUUGAUAGUGAUUGGGCUGGAAAUAUAGAUGACAUGAAGAGUACUACAGGCUAUGCUUUUUCUUUAGGCUCUGGCAUGUUCUCAUGGAACUCGAGGAAACAAGAAAUUGUAGCUCAAUCCACGGCUGAAGCAGAGUAUGUAGCCGCAGCUGCAGCAGCAAACCAAGCUAUUUGGUUGAGGAAAAUACUCUAUGACUUGGGAAUACAACAGCUGGAAGCAACUGUGCUUUAUUGUGAUAGUAAAUCAGCAAUUGCUAUUGCUGAAAAUCCAGUUCAACAUGGAAAAACAAAGCAUAUUCAAGUGAAGUACCAUGCCAUACGCGAGGCUGUUAAAAAUCAAGAGAUCAAGCUUAUUCAUUGUUGUUCUGACUCUCAAGUUUCUGAUAUAUUGACUAAAUCUCUUCCAAGAGCUAAGUUUGAAAAGUUUCGAGAAUUGCUUGGAGUGUCCAUCCAAAAUCUCAAGGAGGAGUGUUGAGACAUUGAGAUUUCAGAUGUACACAAUAGUAUUUUGUGAUAUUUUGUUUUCUUUUAUUUUAAUGUAGUAGUUGAAGUUACCUCUGCAGAAGUAUGGUGACCCAUACUUGUUAGAGUGUUUAAGACUUUGUAAUCUUGGUUAGGUGACAGACUACUAUGCUGUCCUGCUGUUCACUUUUUCUGUUUUUUCUACAUAUUGUAUCAGAAACUUUAUUUUGAUGUAGAAUGAAAUUAUCUUCAAGUUUCUGAAAUAACUUUUAGUUCUUACAAAAGUUGGCUUGUUUGGUGAAGCAUCGAAGUUACCAAAAGACAGCGGUGGCUCUCAUACCAUAACUUGCUGAGCAACUUUGCACGCUCUCUCCAUAAGCUAUGGAAAUAAGGAUCGGAACUUGUUUGUUCGCGGAUUUGAUUGCUAGAGGUCUAUUAGAUUACAUGCUUUCUAGUUUGUUAAAUAAGGCAAAUAUGUCCUUCAAAUUAACAGAUACCUAUGUUUCUUCUUUUAUGCUUUUUGAUUAAGCUUUUGAUUAUGCCUAUGAUUGGAACAAGUUCCUUGUGAGGGGUGGAUGCAUCAAUUGUUAUAGUACCAAUUUGGCAGCCUGUUUUCUUUCUCCACAAGUUUGCUUUUAGAGACGUUAUUUGGUAAAUGUUGUAUAUUGUGUUCUUUUGCAGUUUGAGAACAUCGUUUAAUUUGUAACGUUUUUGAAGAUGAGAGGAAAGUGAGGUGCUUUUCAGUGACUGUUGCUGUGAUUUUCUGAUUGAGAAAUUUGUUUGAUCAAUAAAAUACUUUUGAAGAUGGUUGUUUUAGCUUGAAUAUUGUCGAAUACUAUCUACUAAAUGAUAGUUGAGUUGUGAUGAGUUAAGUUUAUAAAUAGUUUGUUGACAUUUCAUAGUUUUACUUGAUAUAGGCUCCAAAAAUUGGAAUGGAUUAUCACCCUCAUACUGUGUUAAAACAUCAAAAUU